RNAcentral lists this ribosomal RNA (539 nucleotides) under uncultured eukaryote. RNAcentral describes it as "bacterial SSU rRNA". It matches the Rfam family "Eukaryotic small subunit ribosomal RNA", at positions 1106 to 1657 of the family's 1831-position model. The record is from RNAcentral.
UUCGGGUUCCGGGGGGAGUAUGGUCGCAAGGCCGAAACUUAAAGGAAUUGACGGAAGGGCACCACCAGGAGUGGAAUCUGCGGCUUAAUUGACCCAACGCGGGAAAACUCACCAGGUCAGGACACGGUAAGGAUUGACGGACUGAAGGCUCUUUCUCGAUUCCGUGGAAAGUGGUGCAUGGCCGUUUUUGGUUGGUGGAUCGAUCCGUCUGGUUAAUUCCGUUAACGAACGAGACCUCGGCACUCCGAAUAGCGCGGCGGACGUCGCGGCCUCCGGGCCGUCUUCCGCACGAGCUUCUUAGAGGGACCGUCCCCCGCCGGGGAAGGAGGUGCGAGGCAACGACAGGUCUGUGAUGCCCUUAGAUGUUCUGGGCCGCACGCGCAUUACACUGACGCGUCCAACGGGUGACUCCCGACCCGAAGGGGCCGGGGAAUCCGCAAGGCGCGUCGUGAUGGGGAUUGAACGUUGCAAUUGUUGUUCACGAACGAGGAAUUCCUAGUAGGCGCGGGUCAUCAACCCGCGGCGAUUACGUCCCUGCC